This 484-nucleotide long non-coding RNA is filed under the name Sinocyclocheilus anshuiensis. RNAcentral describes it as "lncRNA (ENSSANG00000033930.1)". Lineage: Eukaryota; Metazoa; Chordata; Actinopteri; Cypriniformes; Cyprinidae. The record is from RNAcentral.
GCUUUCCCCGCUUGGCAGAUGGAUGCCUUGUGAACUUAAAGGCAAAGUAAUCAACUUAACAUAAAUCGCAAGAUGCAAUUUCACAGGGUCGGACGCCACCAUACGUUCUAGCCUGUAGUAGCUAGACAUUUGUUGACGACAAGUAGCCUAGCGUGACUGGCAAUGCUGCUGAGGUAAAAAUAUAUCCUGACACAUCUCAAAAGGCGUAAACGAAUAACCCACAAGAGCACGAACUGUGUUGGGAGGGAGGUGUCAAGCCCAGAGGCUGCAUUUCGGCCAAUUAAAGUCGUCGACCCCCUUUGCAAUACGUCAGCCCGCUAAGGGAGGGAUCUGAGCGUGAGCGAUGUGUGCGGUUUCCAAGGCAACCACUUGUCCUGACCUCCCCAUCCCCAUCCACCUCAGCUUCCUGUGACCUGUUGAGACUCAUCUGCAUGCCAUGGACUGAGGGUGUGUUCACCAAAGGGAUGGGGGUGGGUGAGGAGGG